Molecule: ribosomal RNA, 468 nt
Filed under: uncultured bacterium
Lineage: Bacteria
Description: partial 16S ribosomal RNA
Rfam family: Bacterial small subunit ribosomal RNA
Source: RNAcentral
GACGAACGCUGGCGGCGGGCUUAACACAUGCAAGUCGAACGGAAAGGCCCUGCUUUUGUGGGGUGCUCGAGUGGCGAACGGGUGAGUAACACGUGAGUAACCGGCCCUUGACUUUGGGAUAACUUCAGGAAACUGGGGCUAAUACCGGAUAGGAGAUCCUGCUGCAUGGUGGGGGUUGGAAAGUUUCGGCGGGUGGGGAUGGACUCGCGGCUGAUCGGCUUGUUGGUGGGGUAGGGGCUUACCAAGGCUUUGACGGGUAGCCGGCCUGAGAGGGUGACCGGCCACCAUGGGACUACGAUACGGACCAGACUCCUACGGGAGGCAGCAGUGGGAAGUAUUGCACAAUGGGCGGAAGCCUGAUGCAGAAACGCCGCGUGCGGGAUGACGGCCUUCGGGUUGUAAACCGCUUUCGCCUGUGACGAAGCGUUAGUGACGGUAAUGAGUAAAGAAGCACCGGCUAACUACGUG